CCCGGACGGGACCAGACUAAACAAAAGAAUGGUAACUAGCAUAAAAGCUAUAACCGAAAACGCUACAAAGGCUAUGUAUAGCCUGCUGAAAAAAGCAAGAAAUUUGAAUUU
Haliotis rubra (blacklip abalone) is the source of this 111-nucleotide long non-coding RNA. RefSeq lists it as uncharacterized. NCBI's taxonomy places the organism in Eukaryota, Metazoa, Mollusca, Gastropoda, Lepetellida, Haliotidae. The record is from RefSeq and is a predicted model, not a curated record. The transcript has 3 exons.